RNAcentral lists this ribosomal RNA (1024 nucleotides) under uncultured bacterium. RNAcentral's name for it is "bacterial SSU rRNA". It matches the Rfam family "Bacterial small subunit ribosomal RNA", at positions 338 to 1398 of the family's 1533-position model. The record is from RNAcentral.
CCUACGGGGGGCAGCAGUGAGGAAUCUUCCACAAUGGACGAAAGUCUGAUGGAGCGACACCGCGUGAGGGAUGAAGGCCUAACGGUUGUAAACUUCUUUUCUGAAGGAGCAUAAUGAGAGUACUUCAGGAAUAAGGGACGGCUAAAUACGUGCCAGCAGCCGCGGUAAUACGUAUGUCUCGAGCGUUACCCGGAAUCACUGGGUGUAAAGGGUUCGUAGGCGGUUUGAUAAGUUGGAUAUGAAAGACCGGAGCUCAACUCCGUGUUUGUGUUCAAAACUGUUAAACUAGAAUUAGGGAGAGGUAAGCGGAAUUCUAAGUGUAGGGGUGCAAUCCGUAGAUACUUAGAGGAACACCAAAAGCGAAGGCAGCUUACUGGAACUAUAUUGACGCUGAGGAACGAAAGCGUGGGGAGCGAAAAGGAUUAGAUACCCUUGUAGUCCACGCCCUAAACGAUGAUAACUAAGUGCUGCACUUUGGUGCAGUGCUGUAGCUAACGCGUUAAGUUAUCCACCUGAGGAGUACGGUCGCAAGAUUAAAACUCAAAGGAAUAGACGGGGACCCACACAAGCAGUGGAUCACGUGGUUUAAUUCGACAAUAAACGGGGAACCUUACCCAGACUUGACAUCUACCGAAUGAUCUAGAGAUAGAUCGGUGCUCGUAAGAGAACGGUAAGACAGGUGCUGCAUGGUUGUCGUCAGCUCGUGCCUUGAGGUAUUCGGUUAAGUCCGUUAACGAGCGCAACCCAUAUCGUUAGUUAUUAUGUCUAACGAGACUGCCUUGGUUAACAAGGAGGAAGGUGUGGAUGACGUCAAAUCAGCAUGGCUUUUACGUCUGGGGCUACACACAUGAUACAAUGGUGUAUACAAAGAGCAGCGAUACGGUAACGUGGAGCGAAUCUCAAAAAUACAUCUCAGUCCGGAUUGAGGUCUGCAACUCGACCUCAUGAAGUUGGAAUUGCUAGUAAUCGUGAAUCAGAUAUGUCACGGUGAAUAUGUUCCUGGGUCUUGUACACACCGCCCGUC